CCUACGGGAGGCAGCAGUGGGGGAUAUUGCACAAUGGGGGAAACCCUGAUGCAGCGACGCCGCGUGGGCGAAGAAGUAUUUCGGGAUGUAAAGCCCUAUCAGCAGGGAAGAAGAAAUGAUGGUACCUGAGUAAGAAGCACCGGCUAACUACGUGCCAGCAGCCACGGUAAUACGGAGGGGGCAAGCGUUAUCCGGAUUUACUGGGUGUAAAGGGAGCGUAGACGGCAGUGCAAGUCUGGAGUGAAAGGCGGGGGCUCAACCCCCGGACUGCACUGGAAACUGUACGGCUGGAGUGCAGGAGAGGUAAGUGGAAGUCCUAGUGUAGCGGUGAAAUGCGUAGAUAUUAGGAGGAACACCAGUGGCGAAGGCGGCUUACUGGACUGUAACUGACGUUGAGGCUCGAAAGCGUGGGGAGCAAACAGGAUUAGAUACCCCUGUAGUC
RNAcentral lists this ribosomal RNA (442 nucleotides) under uncultured bacterium. RNAcentral's name for it is "partial 16S ribosomal RNA". It matches the Rfam family "Bacterial small subunit ribosomal RNA", at positions 338 to 795 of the family's 1533-position model. The record is from RNAcentral.